This 651-nucleotide ribosomal RNA is filed under the name Triticum aestivum (bread wheat). RNAcentral's name for it is "partial small subunit ribosomal RNA". The record is from RNAcentral. Lineage: Eukaryota; Viridiplantae; Streptophyta; Magnoliopsida; Poales; Poaceae.
AUGGAGUUAUCCAUUUCCAUGGGAGGCUCUGCCGCGGCAACCAGCCUCGUGNNNNNNNAGAUGGUGAAUCACAAAUGCACCAGGGGGCUUGGACCUCAACUUCAGUUUUCGCAUGAUGUACCAUCUUCUGCUUGUCUGAUGAUAUUUAACAAAGAAUGUUCAAAACGAAUCAACCACAAAGUUUGCAGAGCGCUUCAGGCAGUAUCUCCACUACAAUGUGCAGAAAAUCCCAUGCAAGCACCAGUAGCCUUUAAAGAUUUUCACGUUUCUGUGCUUACUGAAGAAGAUGGAGUGAUAGAGACACAGAUACGAGUAACUGUUAGCAGUAAAAUGACAGGUUCUGUCUUUGAGAAAGUCUUAUCAAAGCAUAUUGCCGCGGCACAACCACUUCCAGGAUUUCGGCGAUUGAAAGGAGGGAAAACUCCAAAUGUACCAAAAGAAGUCGCUCUGCACUUGAUUGGACCAUCAAAAGUGAAGAAAGCAGCCAUCAAGAAAAUCAUCAAUCGCGCAGUAGCUGAAUAUGUUGAAAAGGAGAACCUUGACGCGUCGAAGAACCUGAAGGUUCUGCAAAGCUACGAGGAGCUCGAGGCCACGUUCGAACCUGGAAAAGAGUUCUGCUUCGACACGGCUGUCCAUCUAACAGGAAGCUGA